Molecule: ribosomal RNA, 1447 nt
Filed under: uncultured organism
Description: SSU rRNA
Rfam family: Bacterial small subunit ribosomal RNA
Source: RNAcentral
AACGCUAGCUACAGGCUUAACACAUGCAAGUCGAGGGGCAGCAUGGUCUUAGCUUGCUAAGGCCGAUGGCGACCGGCGCACGGGUGAGUAACACGUAUCCAACCUGCCGUCUACUCUUGGACAGCCUUCUGAAAGGAAGAUUAAUACAAGAUGGCAUCAUGAGUCCGCAUGUUCACAUGAUUAAAGGUAUUCCGGUAGACGAUGGGGAUGCGUUCCAUUAGAUAGUAGGCGGGGUAACGGCCCACCUAGUCUUCGAUGGAUAGGGGUUCUGAGAGGAAGGUCCCCCACAUUGGAACUGAGACACGGUCCAAACUCCUACGGGAGGCAGCAGUGAGGAAUAUUGGUCAAUGGGCGAGAGCCUGAACCAGCCAAGUAGCGUGAAGGAUGACUGCCCUAUGGGUUGUAAACUUCUUUUAUAAAGGAAUAAAGUCGGGUAUGGAUACCCGUUUGCAUGUACUUUAUGAAUAAGGAUCGGCUAACUCCGUGCCAGCAGCCGCGGUAAUACGGAGGAUCCGAGCGUUAUCCGGAUUUAUUGGGUUUAAAGGGAGCGUAGAUGGAUGUUUAAGUCAGUUGUGAAAGUUUGCGGCUCAACCGUAAAAUUGCAGUUGAUACUGGAUAUCUUGAGUGCAGUUGAGGCAGGCGGAAUUCGUGGUGUAGCGGCGAAAUGCUUAGAUAUCACGAAGAACUCCGAUUGCGAAGGCAGCCUGCUAAGCUGCAACUGACAUUGAGGCUCGAAAGUGUGGGUAUCAAACAGGAUUAGAUACCCUGGUAGUCCACACGGUAAACGAUGAAUACUCGCUGUUUGCGAUAUACUGCAAGCGGCCAAGCGAAAGCGUUAAGUAUUCCACCUGGGGAGUACGCCGGCAACGGUGAAACUCAAAGGAAUUGACGGGGGCCCGCACAAGCGGAGGAACAUGUGGUUUAAUUCGAUGAUACGCGAGGAACCUUACCCGGGCUUAAAUUGCAGAUGAAUUACGGUGAAAGCCGUAAGCCGCAAGGCAUCUGUGAAGGUGCUGCAUGGUUGUCGUCAGCUCGUGCCGUGAGGUGUCGGCUUAAGUGCCAUAACGAGCGCAACCCUUGUUGUCAGUUACUAACAGGUUCCGCUGAGGACUCUGACAAGACUGCCAUCGUAAGAUGUGAGGAAGGUGGGGAUGACGUCAAAUCAGCACGGCCCUUACGUCCGGGGCUACACACGUGUUACAAUGGGGGGUACAGAGGGUCGCUACCACGCGAGUGGAUGCCAAUCCCCAAAACCUCUCUCAGUUCGGACUGGAGUCUGCAACCCGACUCCACGAAGCUGGAUUCGCUAGUAAUCGCGCAUCAGCCACGGCGCGGUGAAUACGUUCCCGGGCCUUGUACACACCGCCCGUCAAGCCAUGGGAGCCGGGGGUACCUGAAGUGCGUAACCGCGAGGAGCGCCCUAGGGUAAAACUGGUGACUGGGGCUA